This 446-nucleotide ribosomal RNA is filed under the name uncultured bacterium. Its description in RNAcentral is "partial 16S ribosomal RNA". It matches the Rfam family "Bacterial small subunit ribosomal RNA", at positions 338 to 795 of the family's 1533-position model. The record is from RNAcentral.
CCUACGGGUGGCAGCAGUCGAGAAUCAUUCACAAUGGGGGAAACCCUGAUGGUGCGACGCCGCGUGGGGGAAUGAAGGUCUUCGGAUUGUAAACCCCUGUCAUGUGGGAGCAAAUUAAAAAGAUAGUACCACACGAGGAAGAGACGGCUAACUCUGUGCCAGCAGCCGCGGUAAUACAGAGGUUUCAAGCGUUGUUCGGAAUCACUGGGCGUAAAGCGUGCGUAGGCUGUUUCGUAAGUCGUGUGUGAAAGGCGCGGGCUCAACCCGCGGACGGCACAUGAUACUGCGAGACUAGAGUAAUGGAGGGGGAACCGGAAUUCUCGGUGUAGCAGUGAAAUGCGUAGAUAUCGAGAGGAACACUCGUGGCGAAGGCGGGUUCCUGGACAUUAACUGACGCUGAGGCACGAAGGCCAGGGGAGCGAAAGGGAUUAGAUACCCCAGUAGUC